Molecule: unclassified non-coding RNA, 378 nt
Filed under: plant metagenome
Description: partial contains 5.8S ribosomal RNA, internal transcribed spacer 2, and large subunit ribosomal RNA
Rfam family: 5.8S ribosomal RNA (bases 1-105)
Source: RNAcentral
GAAAUGCGAUAAGUAAUGUGAAUUGCAGAAUUCAGUGAAUCUUCGAAUCUUUGAACGCACCUUGCGCUCCUUGGUAUUCCUUGGAGCAUGCCUGUUUGAGUAUCAUGAAAUCUUCAAAGUAAAUCUUUUGUUAACUCAAUUGGUUUCUACUUUGGUUUUGGAGGUCUUUGCAGCUUCACACCUGCUCCUCUUUGUUCAUUAGCUGGAUCUCAGUGUUAUGCUUGGUUCCACUCGGCGUGAUAAGUUAUCUAUCGCUGAGGACACUGUAAAAGGUGGCCAAGGUAAAUGCAGAUGAACCGCUUCUAAUAGUCCAUUGACUUGGACAAUACUUUUAUGAUCUGAUCUCAAAUCAGGUAGGACUACCCGCUGAACUUAAGC